GUUCCUAAUCAUAGUUUUGGGAGACUCUUGUUAGUCCUUCUGGUCUCAGUGACUCAUCGCAUACUCAGAGGUGAUUCCUGCCACCAUGCAGACUUCGAAGUGCGUUCAUAGAAUGCUGAGCCGUGUGAUGCUCUGUUAGAAAAAAGGGGUGGGGUUCCAGGAUCAAAGUGUGGAAGAUUGUUCUAGACACAACCCUGAGCAGCAGGCGCGAUUCCAGGAGCUGUGGCAGAGCUGGAGGAGCAAGUGACUUUUCCCAAGUGUAAAAUUGUUCCGUGGGGAGAGCUGAGCAGGGGCCAGGAGGAAGCCGAUAGCUUCUGGGACCACCACCUGAGCCCACCUGCGGAUCCUCCAGCCGAAACCUCGACACCAUUCCCAGAGACCAAGAUCCCCUCCACGACCAGGGGCUGCCUUUCUGUGCUUGGUCUGGUGACUCCAAGGGUGGUUUCUGUGCCUGCCGGGAGUGAGCUGAGGGUCUGAUGACAUGAGAGACAAUCCUCCUGGGAAAGUGACAGCUUCAUUUGCUCCUUGAAAAGUGACUGAGUCACAAGUCAAAUCCCAAAGCCACAACCCCUUCUACCACUGAGAUGCCAGCAGGUGGAUCCUUCCAAGAAGCCAGAACCCACCGACAGGGACACAGUGGGGCCGUGGCCUCACGAUGAGGUUCAACUUUGCAGCUGGAUACACUAGACAUUGAGGUCACCUGCAAGGAACACGUUUAGAAACAACUGGAGCAGCCCAGAAAGUAAGCCACUGAGGACUUCCCAGGGCCGGGCUGGACACCAUCCCGCCAAGAUCAAGUCAUGCUUACAGUCAUGCAGUAGCCAGUGUGUGCAUGUGCCCGGGAGGCUGCGGGCAGGGGUGGGCCGUUGCAGAACCAGGGGUUUCUAUUUCAGGGAGUCCGUUUUCUGGAUUCUAAGGCGGAACAGGUGAUCUGAUGCAGGAUUCCUGGGGCCACUUCCGGCUGCGAGAGGCUGUCUAGUCCUCACCCCUCACCAUGUGGCCUAGGCCUGCCGUAUCACCCAGGAGCCUGGUGGAAGCACAGAACCUCGGGCCCCACCCCUUCUACCUACUGAACCCGAAUCUUGGUAUGUGUGUCCGGGUGACCCAGCCACCUGGCUUUUAACAAGUUCUCCAGGUCAUUCUUGUGCACCAUGAAGUUUGAGAGUCCCAGGUCUGCGAUGCAGGAUGGAAAACAGAGAUGUGGGAUGGCUGGGGACGUUGGGAUGACUCAGGGCAUUGGUAUUCAAACGUGUUCUCGGAGAUCCCGCUUGCUAUACUGCCCAGCCUUGCAGCUCUGAGGCCCCGCCUCCGGGGCUGGCACUGGUCCUGUGUUUAGAGGAAAAUGGGUGGGGCACCUGGGCUUGGGACCCUCAGUCAUAGGGUUUUCUGACUUCGGGAAUUUCCGGGGGAGGGGUUGUGGCUCCUCCUGAAGGUGUGGGAGCAGUGGGGGGGUUGCACUCUUGCAGA
Molecule: long non-coding RNA, 1467 nt
Filed under: Marmota monax (woodchuck)
Lineage: Eukaryota; Metazoa; Chordata; Mammalia; Rodentia; Sciuridae
Source: RNAcentral